GUUGUCGGAUUCACUUUAAUCCAUGUGUGUUGGGGUGGAAUUUAGUUCAAUUUUUACUUUAAAUUCUAAUCCACCUCAACACAUGUGGAUUGAUGUGAAUCCGACU
This 106-nucleotide microRNA precursor is filed under the name Sorghum bicolor (sorghum). RNAcentral's name for it is "MIR5565 microRNA precursor family". It matches the Rfam family "MIR5565 microRNA precursor family". The record is from Rfam by way of RNAcentral. Lineage: Eukaryota; Viridiplantae; Streptophyta; Magnoliopsida; Poales; Poaceae.